RNAcentral lists this ribosomal RNA (1702 nucleotides) under Triticum aestivum (bread wheat). Its description in RNAcentral is "partial small subunit ribosomal RNA". Lineage: Eukaryota; Viridiplantae; Streptophyta; Magnoliopsida; Poales; Poaceae. The record is from RNAcentral.
GGGGAUAGGGGUAGGGGUCUAAGGAGAGCGAAAGAGAGCAGGCGGCGACGCCGGAGGUGGCGGCUGGAGGGGUGUGGCGGCGGUGGAGGGUGCGGGAGGGGUUUCCGACUUCGAGGGUGGGGAAGAGAGGAAGAGGAGUGGUAGUCGCUGAACGUGGCGGGGGGGAGGGCGUGGUCUAGCCCGUCUUCCACCCCUGCACUUAGUCCGAGUCUAGGCCGUGCCGGUCUCGUGACCAAGGGCAACUCUACGGUACCUAUUCCACGAGACCGGGACCACGAUGUCGGUACCUCUUCCACGGGAGGGGUAGAGAGAAGAGAGAGAGAGAGAGCCUAAGCUAAAUUAAAGUCCAACGGGUGGGCUGGGGCUGGUUGCUCUGGACCUGAAUCACGAUUACGAGCAUCGUUACUAUGGGCCUUUUGAUUUACUAACUUACCCUCUUUUUCUUCCUUGCUCGAAUCCUUAGUCGAACCCCCACCCUUUUCUUACUAUUUGUGUACAUUAAAAAUAUACUCUAAGUGUGAAUUAAUAGUUCAGUGUAAACUUGAGAUUCACAAGACAAAAGGUUUUAAGUCAUUUGUUCAAACAGGUGGUCCGAGUCACUUCCCCUGGAAUCAAACCCACUAACCUCCGAAUGAUCUUACUACUUUGUUCGACUGGAUUAUAUAUUACUUCUAUUAGAUAAUGUUUAUGAGUUUCCCGAGCUCCGUUUCCCUUUGACUCCGUCCGACAACGACAAUGGCUCACCCACAUGUUACCUUUAUCAAUGUUCGUAGCUUCUUCGUCCAUUAAAAGACAACUACGUAAGUAAACCAUGAAUAAAGAAAGAAAGGUCGGUGGCAUUCGUAUUAAAGUACCACGCUUUAAUACGACCUUAUAGUUAUUGAAUUGAUUAUAAACGAGACCAUUUACAAAUAAUGGCUACAUGACAAGAUAAACAUGCUACGUAGAAAACAAUAGAAUCUCGUUAACUAACGGGUCUAAUCAAAGAUCCUAUUAGUCUACCAUCGAAGAUAAUCGACUAGGUACUUUCCAAAGAUCCUAUUAGUCUACCAUCGAAGAUAAUCGACUAGGUACUUUCCAAUUCAAAGGUAAAAAGUGGAGAAGCCCGCACCGUCAUGAGACCGCGUGAUGUUGUGGACCGACUACGAGUAGAUGUAGUGGGUAAACAGCGAGUCUUUGUUUAUACCCUCAUGGUCGUUCCGGAACCAAGACUUGGUCAGGUAUAGGCUCUGUUGUAAACCCUUCCACAGACUAAAGUAAGUUAGAAAACGUAGUAAACGGUUCUUCCUACUCGGAUCUCGUAAGGCGGCAGGUACCGUCGCUAAGGUCCUCGCUCGAGGUAGAGGAUACUACGAAGAGUGUCGGGGUCGUAGGAGUACCGUCCAGUCCAGACGUAGUGGCUCCAUAAGACAAAGACCACUUUCCCGUCCAGAAGUGAAGACCUAAUGACGGAGGGAAGGGUUAAAUGAACGAUACACCUUCCACCAACGUGAUACCCCCUGUCACAGGUUCUCUCUCGGUGAAUUUACCAAUCUACAACUUCCGUUGACAUGUACAAAAUAAAGUGACAAAAAGUAGAAAAAGACCUCUACUAAAGUCAUGAAAGAUAAUGACACUACAAUCUUGGUUCUACGUACACAGUGUACACGGUAGUUAACACAUUACUUGAAAGAUAACACAAGGGCUACUAGAGUUUAGGGAC